Molecule: long non-coding RNA, 2691 nt
Filed under: Canis lupus familiaris (dog)
Lineage: Eukaryota; Metazoa; Chordata; Mammalia; Carnivora; Canidae
Description: lncRNA (ENSCAFG00040000926.1)
Source: RNAcentral
GCCCCCGGCCUCGGCCUCCUCCAGCUUGUCCUCCCGAUACUCGGCCCCCUCCUCCGGCUCUCCUUCCCUGGGGGGCUGCUGCUUGCCUGGCCUGGCCUCCUCCAGGCCGCCUGGGCUCCUCUGCUGCUGCAGGGCCUGGGGGCCCGCCCCCGACGAGGGCCCUGGCCCCACCUCCCCACCCCCCUCCGCCGUAGCCCUCUCCUCUGCAGCCCCUCCCUGAGUAGAACGAGCCUGGCCAAUGGCCUCGGGGGCCCCUCCCUCGAGGAGGGCCCCACAUGGCAGUUCUCGAAGCCCCUCCAGCGGGCUGGGGUCUGCUGCCUUCCCCAGGGGUCCCCGCUCGGCAGGGGCGCGGGGGGCGGGGUAGCCGAGGAGCCCCCAGGGCGGCCUGCUGGACGUGCCACCCCUCCCCGCGGACGGCAGGACGAGGGCGCCCAGCGCAGGCAGGACCCCGAGGAGGGAGGAGAGCCCGGCCCCCCACGGGCGGCCACUAUCGCUGCCCAUCUAUCCCCCCUGACAGGUCAAUUUUCUCCCAUGUUUUACAGAACCUUUCAGAGCAGGAAAUGUGAUCCUGCGGCUGAUUUAUGUCCUUACCUGGUCUUUGUUCACAAGCUGCCCUCUGCAGGGCUGCGCCGGGUGUCCAGCCCGGCUGGAGGACAUCUCCCCGAAGGGAUUCCCACCCUCUCUUCCUUCCGGGGGCCGCGUGACUUCGGAGCUCACCUGGGAGACAGGGGAUUGGGCCGCCACUGCGUUCUGUGAGGGGCUGUCUAGGGGGUGGUUUGAAUUCCCCGUCCGCUGGGCUGGCCUGGGGACAUCCUCCUCACCACCUGCACUCAUGAGUAGCGUCUUGGGGCCCCAUCUGGGUGGGGAGGGGUUGUCCCUUGGCAGCAUCUCCCCGUUUGGAAGGGACAGUGACGGGGAUCAUUGUGCUUUUUCUUUCCACAGUAAAUCCACUUUUGUUUCUCAGACUGUGUUCUUUGAUGUCGUAGCUGAGCUCCCAGGGCACACCUGGGCACAAGGGUCGCCUCCCAGCAGGUCCCCCCUGGAGGAGAGAGUUGUCCCUUCAGCAGCUGCCUCCAGAAAUAACGAGAAAUCUUUUGUGUACAACUGAUGAGCUUGCAAUCUUCCAUAAAGUGGCGCAGAACGUAUUUAGGAAACUUCCAGUGGACGUUCCAAGGGAAGACCACUCAGUGUGAUGCGGCCCCUGCCCAGCCCCUGGCAGGCAGAUUCUCCCUGGCUCUGUCACCAGGCGAAGGUCCAGAUGGAGUCUCCCCGGUGUGGUUGACCAGGUGACCUGUCCAGGCUGUGCCUCCUAAGAGGUCGGUAAUGCUCUUCCUGCUUCUCAUCUGCCCGGGGUCUCUGCUCCCAAGUCCACGCUUUAGUCGCCUGUUUCAGCUGUGAGCGAUCCCACUAUCCUUCCCAUCUGACUGAUAGUGAGAACAGCCCUGGUUGCUGUCACCUAAAGCUGACUGAAGACAUUUGGCUGACACAGGACCCACCAAGAUAAAACUGACAGGGUUGGGACUUGAGAUUCCACUUGGAGGAACCUGUAGUCCAGGUUAUACCCACCCACCCAUCUGUCCAUUCAUCCACCUACCCGUGCAUCCAUCUGUCCAUUUAUUCCCUCAUCCAUCCUUACCUAUCUAUUCCUACCUCUGCCACUCACCUUCCUGAACAGGCCACUAACGAUAUUCCAGGCCUGGUACUAGGCACCGAGACCACCAUGGUACACAAGUCCUUCCAUUAGUCUUGAUCUAGGGGAAGAGACAGCAACACGUAAGUCCAGGGGGCUCUGGGUACAUAGAACCCCUUCCCGGGGGAAGGAGCGGGCCAGAGAGGCUUCCGGGGGGAGACUGGAGCUUCCAGAUGGGUAGGGAAGGCAGGCCUGCGGGGCAGAAGCCGGGAAAGUCUUGGUUUCUUCAAGGUGCACGGCCCGAGGAGGCCAGAGAACAGAGCUGGGGGCCAGGAGGAGGGCUCGGAGCUGUGGGUCUGACGUGAUGGGGCUCACUCUACCGAUGGGAGAGGCAUGAGCAGUCCUGUUUUGGUGGCUGUGGCUGUUGCACUAGGAGUGGGGCUCUGAAGGGACAGGGCACACCAACCAGCUAGGAUACCCCAACACCCAACUCCAAGAGACUUCCUGAGGUCCAGCAAGAGCCCUUCCUCCGUCCCUGGGCUUUCCUUCUCCCCGCCACCCUCCCAACCCUCCAGCCACGACUGGCAUUUCAGCAAAAGUCUCCCGACAAACACUGGUUUCACAGACGAGCGGCCGGGAGUGUGGCACGGGCCCCAAGCCCAGAAGGGCCCUGUGCUUUAUUGUUGUCUUGAAAUUCUGAAUAAGAAAGAAAAGAAAGAAAGAAAGAAGGAAAGAAGGAAAGAAAGAAAGAAAGAAAGAAGGAAGGAAGGAAGGAAGGAAGGAAGGAAGGAAGGAAGGAAGGAAGAAAAAAUUAAUUCUGAAAAAAUUAAUUCUGAAUAAAUUCCUCUUUUAGCCUGGGUUUGGUGCAUGGGACCCUGGAGCGCAGCGAGAGCAGAGGAGACAGGUGCGUGGCCCGUGCCAUGCGCCUCGUGGGCAGGGUCCAAGAAGCCCCGGGAGCCGAUCUGGGGGCCGUGAUGCGAGAGCCCAGGGUGAGCACAGGGUGUCACAUGUGGGGAGCAGGGGGGCCCUGCAGCCUCCGGGGCUAAAGAAGCCGGGGGGGG